Molecule: long non-coding RNA, 3320 nt
Filed under: Hordeum vulgare
Lineage: Eukaryota; Viridiplantae; Streptophyta; Magnoliopsida; Poales; Poaceae
Description: long non-coding RNA (HVUL_LNC019451)
Source: RNAcentral
CUUCUUUCCCCCAUCGCGCUGCCAGCCUCAUCUCCCUCCUUCGUUUCCCCUCUGCAAGGUAAGGUUCAAAGGUUCAGGCAGAGAGACAGGUCGUCGAUCCCCGCCGUUCCCUCACCGCCGGUAGCCCCUCCGUGGAGGCCAAGGUGGUAGGGAGGAUGCUGGAUCCUCCCUCGUUCCAUUCCCGCCGCUAGGGAGCCGGAUCCCCUCCUCUGUUGUCUCCUCCACGUCGGCUUCGUCGGAGCGGAGCGGAGCAGUGGUCGUUGCCGGUCGCCCCGCCUGUUCUUCCUCUUCUCUGUAGCCAAGCGCGUCUCCAAGACCUCCAGGGUGAGCGCCUUGUCCUCCUCUUCCAUCCCCGCGCUUAAGGUCUCCCCUCUGCGAGUGGUGGUCGCCGGCAUCGAGCUCCUCUUGGCCGGUGUAGCAGCUCCGUCAAGCCGCCGCCGUGGGCUUCCUCCGGGUGAGUUAACCCCGGGAAUGGAACUCCGAAGGACCCGUUUCCCUCGUGUGGUGCUUAGUUGAUCGUUUAGGCGCCGGAGGGCACGACAGCAUCGUUCCCUGUCCAGGCGGCGCUGCUCUGCUCUGUUGCUUAGCAGCAGUAGCAUCAGUUGAGAGGAUAGCAGUAGCAUCAGUUGAGAGGAUAGCAGUAGCAUCAGUUUUGGUAGUUAGCAGUAGCAGCGGUUCCGGUAGCGGCAGGAGCUUGUUGUAACGACAGCAGUAGUAGAUCGUGGCAGCAGUGCGGCUGCUCGAGAGCGCGUGUCCGUGCUAGCGUUCCCUCUGGAGUGCUUGCAUGCGUGCACGUGUGCGAGUCUGAGCAGAACGAUGGCGACGCGCGUGGUAUUUUCAUCUGGAGAGGAGCCCGUUUUUGGGCAGAUUCCCCCUCCUAGUCCGACUGGUUCGAGGGUUCGAUCAGCCCAGGCGCCCCUUUUGUUUCGUCAGUUUUUUACCCUGUUUACGCUAGGAUUCAAAGCAGGUCGAGUUACCUGAUUCGUAGUCUCUGUUUGAUCAGCUAACUGGGCUUAGCCCAGUGGUAGCUGGCGAGGUGUGUAGCAGGAGGGAGUGGGUUUGAUCCCCACUCUGGCUGUUUGAUUUUUUUUCUCCUGACUAUAACAGUGUGUGUAGCAGUGUGUGUUUGUGUGUAUGACAGUAGCCCCCUGGCCCACAUGUCAUACAGUGAGGGGCCACUGCCUGGUGGGACCCCCUGCUCAUUAUUUUUCUGUGUGUAUUUGUUUAUUUUGUUGGUGAUAUUCCUGGUGCCAAAAGGGCAUAUUUCUAUUCCUGGAAAUGUCCAAAUCUGGACUUGCCAAUUUGGGCAGUCUCAAGAACAGUUUCUGGUCUUGAAAUGAUGUUGUAGUUGAUCCUAUGUCAGAUUCUUUUCCCUGUUUGUGGUGUUUUUCUAGAUGCAAAGGUGGCACUGUGAUAUAUUGAUUUGGGGUAGAAAAUCCCAGUGAAUCCAACGAUGCUAUUAGUUUCUGGUUUUGGACUUCUCUGUAGAAAUUACCUUUUGGUGAGGUGGCAAUAGUUAUCGAUGUAGGGUUUUUUAUGUGCUUGUUUGGAGCAGUGCAUGCGUGCAUAUUGUUGUCUGUUGCAUCAUUUGCUUCUGGUGUUUAUUAGGUCUUGUUUCUUUGGGUAGCAACCGGGGACGAAACGAGUACGAGGAGACUGGAGAGUUCGUGCAGGAAGAAUAAGAGAAGUUCCAGUCUGAAGAGAUCUCAGGCAAGAUGAUCAUUACCUUGACACCAUUUCUAGCUUUCUUAUGCUUAGUGUUUCGUUUCCUUCGUUAUCUCCGCUGCCUACCACAUGAUAUAUAUGCCAUCAAACGUUGCCAUGAAACCUCAAACACCUCCCCUCCUAGCAAAUAUUGUUUGGCUAAGUAGGCUUGCUCAACCACUAAUUGUUAGCGUUGCUAGUUGCAGGUACUAGCUUGUCCAUGUGAUAACAUGGGCUAUUGAUAUCAUUAUGUUUAACUUCUAUUAAUUAAUGCACGUAUAUACUUGGUAAAUGACGGAAGACCUAGCCUUUUGCCGGGUGAUUUGUUCCGUUGUUGCCGCCUUGGUUUCGGCUACCGGUGUUUUAUUCCAUAUCUGAGCGCUCCUAACACGUUCGGGGUUGUAAUGGGGACCCUCUUGAUAACUCGUUUUUUAUUAAAGCUCUUCCAGCCAGGCCCGACUUUAGUGUUAAUUUGCUAACAACCUAAUAAAAUUAAUAGGGAAUAGCUACCCCUAGGAAUUAAUCAACAACCCGGGCGAGUGUUCCUCAUGAGUGUUGGUCCAACCUGAGCGAUGUCCGGCGCCCCCUGGUUACCCAGGGUUUAGCCAACCCGACGUCUAGCUCAUCCGGUCGUGCCCUGAGAAUGAGAUACGCGGCUCCUAUCGGGACUGUCGGCACGUCGGGCGGCCUUGCUAGAUUAGUUUUACCUUUUACGAGAUAUCUUGCGGAUUGGGAUUCUGGUGAGACUUUGGGUCAUCUCAGAGUUGAGGUUUUCCUCUAAGGAACCCGAUGAGAUCACGGGUUUCGUGGUAGAGGAUUACUACGCGUCAUGUGGUAAUUUGUGAUGGACUAGUUGGAGUACCCCUGCAGGGUUUAAUCUUUCGGAAAGCUGUGCUCGCGGUUAUGUGGCAAACAUGGAUAUUUUGUUAACAUCCGGUUCUAGACAACUUAAAGUAAUUCUAAUAAAACUUGCCAAGUGAGUGCGUAACCGUGACUGUCUCCUAUAGAGCUCCUUCUCUGUUCGAGAACACGGUGGGGUUAUGAAUGACGUAAUUAGGUGUUCAGAAUCAUUUAGUGAUCAAUCUAGUUAUCGACCGUCUUGCGUAGGCCACCAAAUGUUAACUCAGAUCUUCGUAAGAUAGCCACCAUACAAGCUUAGGUUGCGGCAAACUCAUACACUUAACCUUCCUCACACAUUUAAAUUAGUUAGAUUUGAUACCAAGGUCAUAGGAUUGUUGAGUCCUCGUGGCUCACGGUUUACUACAAACACCCACAGGUACAGGUAGCCCUGAUGCAGGAGCUCCUGAUGACAGUCAUCUAAAGUGGGAGUUCGAUGAGGACAGCGGCAGGCUGUACAUGACUUAUGUGGAGGACUUGAGGCCGUGGUCAUGAUCGUGGGCCCAACAUGCAGGAUAUCAUAGCUUUUCCUGUUUAUCCUGUCCGUAGCUGGACCUUUCCAUGUUCGUAAUAAUGUGUCGUUGUAUGACUGUAUGACUAUGUACCUUAUCAGAUGGCAAGUGUAUGCCCUACUUGUCACUCUUUAAGUUAUUGUAUUAUCAUGAUUAUCUCGCUUGCGAAAUGCGUAGAUGCGCCUCUUUCCCUUUUGAGGCCUCGCC